Ipomoea triloba (trilobed morning glory) is the source of this 683-nucleotide long non-coding RNA. RefSeq lists it as uncharacterized. Lineage: Eukaryota; Viridiplantae; Streptophyta; Magnoliopsida; Solanales; Convolvulaceae. The record is from RefSeq and is a predicted model, not a curated record. The transcript has 2 exons.
CCAAACAAGUAAUUCUCUUCUUCAUAUCUAUCAUCACACAUGUGAAAUCAAGUUCAAUCUCGAUCAACGGUAAUGAUUUCACAAAACCAUGCCACCGACACUGAAGAGCAAGAAACGAUUAUUGUGGAACAAGUUAAAGCUACACAUGAUCCCAGAGGUGGAAUGGAUGUCGAUACAACUUCUAUUUUCAAUUUUGUUGACAACAUUUUCAAUUGCGAUACGUUCAAACUCCUAUUUCACAGAUCUGUCUACAAUCUAUGCAUGAAGAAGUGUGAUGGAGAUAGUUUCUAAAGAGUUAAAAGUAAAAGAAAUUCCUUUAUUAAUUUAAUUCUUUUAAUUGCCUUGUCAUGAAGCAAAGUAUUAGGAUGUAUUGAUUCUUGCUUGUACACAUUUUCAGUUCAUAUAAUAUGUAAGAUAAGUGAUUUGCAAGACAUUCUCGUACUUGUUAUUCUAUUUUCAAUGCAUUGGAAGCAAGAAGCUAGAUGACUACCUUAACACUAAAUCAAAGAAGGUAUGAAAAAUCCCGAAAGGGAUAGACCAGCCAAUGAAUUGAAACAUGAUUUUUCUAUGUAAAGGUCUCUGAGUUUCAUUUAUAACAACACAUUUUCAGUCCAAUUUAUUGCACAAGAUUUUCUGCAAUUCUUAGUGUGGUUUAUCUCUUCUAUAUGAUUAGUUUAUGAAAA